AGCAGUAGCCGCGGGAAAACGAAGGGUGCAAGCGUUAAUCGGAAUUACUGGGCGUAAAGCGCGCGUAGGUGGUUUGGUAAGAUGGAUGUGAAAUCCCCGGGCUCAACCUGGGAACUGCAUCCAUAACUGCCUGACUAGAGUACGGUAGAGGGUGGUGGAAUUUCCUGUGUAGCGGUGAAAUGCGUAGAUAUAGGAAGGAACACCAGUGGCGAAGGCGACCACCUGGACUGAUACUGACACUGAGGUGCGAAAGCGUGGGGAGCAAACAGGAUUAGAUACCCCUGUAGUCCCUGUCUCUUAUAA
Molecule: ribosomal RNA, 303 nt
Filed under: uncultured bacterium
Lineage: Bacteria
Description: partial 16S ribosomal RNA
Rfam family: Bacterial small subunit ribosomal RNA
Source: RNAcentral